This 474-nucleotide ribosomal RNA is filed under the name uncultured bacterium. RNAcentral describes it as "SSU rRNA". It matches the Rfam family "Bacterial small subunit ribosomal RNA", at positions 26 to 518 of the family's 1533-position model. The record is from RNAcentral.
AGGACGAACGCUGGCGGCGUGCUUAACACAUGCAAGUCGAACGGAAAGGCCCUUCGGGGUACUCGAGUGGCGAACGGGUGAGUAACACGUGGGUGAUCUGCCCCGCACUUUGGGAUAAGCCUGGGAAACUGGGUCUAAUACCGAAUAGGACCAUGGCAUGCAUGUGCUGUGGUGGAAAGCUUUUGCGGUGUGGGAUGGGCCCGCGGCCUAUCAGCUUGUUGGUGGGGUUAAGGCCUACCAAGGCGACGACGGGUAGCCGGCCUGAGAGGGUGUCCGGCCACACUGGGACUGAGAUACGGCCCAGACUCCUACGGGAGGCAGCAGUGGGGAAUAUUGCACAAUGGGCGCAAGCCUGAUGCAGCGACGCCGCGUGGGGGAUGACGGCCUUCGGGUUGUAAACCCCUUUCAGUAGGACGAAGCGCAAGUGACGGUACCUACAGAAGAAGCACCGGCCAACUACGUGCCAGCAGCCGC